This 425-nucleotide ribosomal RNA is filed under the name uncultured bacterium. RNAcentral describes it as "bacterial SSU rRNA". It matches the Rfam family "Bacterial small subunit ribosomal RNA", at positions 356 to 773 of the family's 1533-position model. The record is from RNAcentral.
AGGGAAUCUUCCGCAAUGGACGAAAGUCUGACGGAGCAACGCCGCGUGAGUGGAGAAGGUUUUCGGAUCGUAAAACUCUGUUGUCAGGGAAGAACAAGUACGGGAGUAACUGCCCGUACCUUGACGGUACCUGGCCAGAAAGCCACGGCUAACUACGUGCCAGCAGCCGCGGUAAUACGUAGGUGGCAAGCGUUGUCCGGAAUUAUUGGGCGUAAAGCGCGCGCAGGCGGCCUUUUAAGUCUGAUGUGAAAGCCCCCGGCUCAACCGGGGAGGGUCAUUGGAAACUGGAAGGCUUGAGUGCAGAAGAGAAGAGCGGAAUUCCACGUGUAGCGGUGAAAUGCGUAGAGAUGUGGAGGAACACCAGUGGCGAAGGCGGCUCUUUGGUCUGUAACUGACGCUGAGGCGCGAAAGCGUGGGGAGCGAAC